Molecule: ribosomal RNA, 469 nt
Filed under: uncultured bacterium
Lineage: Bacteria
Description: bacterial SSU rRNA
Rfam family: Bacterial small subunit ribosomal RNA
Source: RNAcentral
GACGAACGCUGGCGGCGUGCCUAACACAUGCAAGUCGAACGGGGUGAUUCCUUCGGGGAUCACUUAGUGGCGAACGGGUGAGUAACGCGUGAGAAACCUGCCUUUCAGUGGGGGACAACAGUUGGAAACGACUGCUAAUACCGCAUAAUGUUAUCGAGCGGCAUCGCUUGAUAACCAAAGCUUUAUGUGCUGAAAGAUGGUCUCGCGUCUGAUUAGCUAGUUGGUGAGGUAACGGCUCACCAAGGCGACGAUCAGUAGCCGGUCUGAGAGGAUGAACGGCCACAUUGGGACUGAGAUACGGCCCAGACUCCUACGGGAGGCAGCAGUGGGGAAUAUUGGGCAAUGGGGGGAAACCCUGACCCAGCAACGCCGCGUGAAGGAAGAAGGCCUUCGGGUUGUAAACUUCUUUACCUAGGGACGAACACAAUAGACGGUACCUAGGAGAAAAAGACAACGGCUAACUACGUAG